AUUGAACGCUGGCGGAAUGCUUUACACAUGCAAGUCGAACGGCAGCACGGACUUCGGUCUGGUGGCGAGUGGCGAACGGGUGAGUAAUGUAUCGGAACGUGCCCAGUCGUGGGGGAUAACGUAGUGAAAAUUACGCUAAUACCGCAUACGAUCUAUGGAUGAAAGCGGGGGAUCGCAAGACCUCGCGCGAUUGGAGCGGCCGAUAUCAGAUUAGGUAGUUGGUGGGGUAAAGGCCCACCAAGCCAACGAUCUGUAGCUGGUCUGAGAGGACGACCAGCCGCACUGGAACUGAGACACGGUCCAGACUCCUACGGGAGGCAGCCGUGGGGAAUUUUGGACAAUGGGCGAAAGCCUGAUCCAGCCAUUCCGCGUGCAGGAUGAAGGCCCUCGGGUUGUAAACUGCUUUUGUACAGAACGAAAAGGUUUCUACUAAUACUAGGAGCUCAUGGCGGUACUGUAAGAUUAAGCACCGGCUAACUACGUGCCAGCAGCCGCAGUAA
Molecule: ribosomal RNA, 500 nt
Filed under: uncultured bacterium
Lineage: Bacteria
Description: partial 16S ribosomal RNA
Rfam family: Bacterial small subunit ribosomal RNA
Source: RNAcentral